RNAcentral lists this ribosomal RNA (304 nucleotides) under uncultured bacterium. RNAcentral's name for it is "partial 16S ribosomal RNA". It matches the Rfam family "Bacterial small subunit ribosomal RNA", at positions 506 to 807 of the family's 1533-position model. The record is from RNAcentral.
CAGCAGCAGCCGCGGGAAAACGUAGGUGGCAAGCGUUGUCCGGAAUUAUUGGGCGUAAAGGGCUCGCGGGCGGUUUCUUAAGUCUGAUGUGAAAGCCCCCGGCUCAACCGGGGAGGGUCAUUGGAAACUGGGAAACUUGAGUGCAGAAGAGGAGAGUGGAAUUCCACGUGUAGCGGUGAAAUGCGUAGAGAUGUGGAGGAACACCAGUGGCGAAGGCGACUCUCUGGUCUGUAACUGACGCUGAGGAGCGAAAGCGUGGGGAGCGAACAGGAUUAGAUACCUGUGUAGUCCCUGUCUCUUAUAC